GAUGAAGAACGCAGCGAAAUGCGAUAAGUAAUGUGAAUUGCAGAUUUCCAGUGAAUCAUCGAAUCUUUGAACGCACAUUGCACUCCUUGGUAUUCCGAGGAGUAUGCCUGUUUCAGUAUCAUGAGCACUCUCACAUCUAACCUUUGGGUUAAAAUGUGGAAUUGGGAUGCGCCGGUUAUUAUAACGGCCCUCCUAAAAUUCAGUUCUUGGCUGCUUCCUACUACAGCAGUUUGGCCUAAUAGUUUUGAGUCUUCGAUUCAAAUCUUUGGCUAACAUUUGCUUCAGGAUGUCAGUCUUGAUAUACAGAAAUCUCAUUCAAACUUUGAUCUGAAAUCAGGUAGGGCUACCCGCUGAACUUAAGCAUAUCAAUAAGCGGAGGA
This 380-nucleotide unclassified non-coding RNA is filed under the name soil metagenome. RNAcentral describes it as "partial contains 5.8S ribosomal RNA, internal transcribed spacer 2, and large subunit ribosomal RNA". The stretch from base 1 to 121 matches the Rfam family "5.8S ribosomal RNA", at positions 35 to 154 of the family's 154-position model. The record is from RNAcentral.